This 5751-nucleotide long non-coding RNA is filed under the name Panax ginseng (ginseng). RNAcentral's name for it is "long non-coding RNA (PGIN_LNC002239)". Lineage: Eukaryota; Viridiplantae; Streptophyta; Magnoliopsida; Apiales; Araliaceae. The record is from RNAcentral.
UAACACUUCGUCUCUUCUCUUCCCUCUUCCGCGGCUUCCGCCUCCACUGCCUCCACUGGACCACUGCUCCUGCCGGCUCCCUCUAUGACUCUGCCGCCGCCGCCCGCCGCCGCCCGCCGCCGCCACUGCUCACUCUCUUACAGGUUUUGUGUUAUACUGAUAUUCAUUGUUAAUUUGUUAUUGUUGUUUUUUCUCCUUUUUAUUUAUUUUUUUAUUCAGUGGUCGAGUAUUCGAGUGUGGUAAGUGGUAACAUACUAAAUUACUAACAUAGGCUAUUUAUUUUUCCUGGCUUCUGUUUCUAUAUAUAAUAGCUUCCAAUUUGGGAUUAUAUCCGAAAAGAAAAUUAGACUCUCAAUUUGGGAAUUUAGUAAUUUGGGAUUCUAUAUUAAUAUUUUAGUAAUUUAGUUUUUAAAAUUAUUACUGUUGGAGUAAUCUUUAAUUAUUGUUUAAUUUUUGUUUUCUUAAAUCCUAAGAGAAUUGAUGAAUAAUGAAAUUAUUAUGAAAUGUUUAAAUUGAUGAAAUUAUUGAUAAGCAAUUGAUGAAAUUAUUUAUACUAGAUUAUGGUAUAAAUAAAAACAUCAAUGGUUUGUUCAUGAUUAAUGAACUCUGAAAAUUUUUGAAAAUAAUUUGUGCCUAUCUUAUGUUUGCUAAAAUAUUUCAAUGGAAAGGGUUGAUUAAAAUAAAAGAAUUGGUAUAUUAUUUUAAAGGAAAUAUGAUAUAUAUAUAUAUAAUUGAAUUAUAAUUAAUGGUGAAGAAAUUGAGAGUGAUUCCGAAGCAAAUAGUGAUCUUGACUCCUUAUGCAUUGGGUCACAAUUCUUUGGUCGGUAUGCAUUGGGCCACGAAUAUACUUUCCAUUUUUUUUAAUCUGGGUCAAAAUCAAACCCAAGGACCUUCCCCUCGCCGCUGUAACAUACACGUCGCUGCUCCGGACCUCCGGUAACCGCCCUCAAAUUUUGACCCCCCUUUAAAUUUUGUUCUGAUUCCGCCAUUGAGAAUGCAUCAUUCUGACAAUAAACAAACCAAACAGCCUUUUAUUCAUUCCAAUGAAAUUAUUUAUUCAAUUCUCCAUUCUAUUCUAUCGAUCCAAAUAUGUAGCAUAAAAAGUGAACCUUUCGCGUAUUGGCACUAGUCAAAAUUUACAUAUUACCUUAACAGAUGUGGCUUUAAUUUCAGUUGGUAAUUAAAACUAAUCUUUUAACAUCAACAUAAGGGUAUUAACUAGUAUUUACUCGCAGCCUGGCACUUUUGGACUUGGAUUUUGUAGUAUUUAGUGGUGUUAAGAGUCCAUCAUAGAGAUUCUGAUUUUGUUUGAAAAGUUGAAUUCAAUAGAUUCUGGUAAGAAAAUUUCCAUAUUAUAUUCCGUCUUCUUUACUCCAAAGACUUUUCAUUGACCUCCUGCUGAGGAUAAAUAUUGUAUUUUGGUGACAUGCGUAUUCAGUACUCCAUUUUAAAAUGUAAAAUUAUUAUUAACUUUUUAAAAUCAAUUUAUAAUAUUUAAAAUUAAAUUUAACAUAGAUUUAUUUAAAUGUAGUCCAGUGCAUAGUAUAAUCCAUGUUAUAACUUUAAUUAUGCAAACACACUCACCAUGGAGGGGAUCCGGAUCCUCUGUGAGGGUUUUGCUGUGUGGUUGACAACACAUUAAAAAGGAGAUCCAAUGGCUUAUAACUCUUUUUUUGUCUGUGUAUCAAAACGACGUCGUUUUGAUAGAAAUUUUUUUUUACAAGUUGAUAGGAAAUUGGAAGCCACCAAACGCCAAUUAAUUUUACCAAACAAACAAAGUAAAGUAAAAAAAAGUACAUUUAAAAUAUUAUUUGAGUUGUAAUGGUGAUUGUCUCCGCUGAGCAGUGGAUUAAGAGAGGUAAAGUAAAACGAUUAUUAAUAAUAAAAAAAGAUAUAAAGGAAUAUGUAAAUAAUAAUAAUAGAUAGGUCUAAAAUAUUUUCUUGGUUGACCCAGAUGGCCCAAUGAUUAGAGUAAAUAAUAAUAAUAUUUUUAAUGGUGAGAGUAAAUUCUUUUUAUGGAACAAAUAAAUACAAAUUAUAAUAAUAAUAAAUAAUAAUAUAAAUAAACAAACAAAAACGACAAUAAUAAACGAAAAAUAACUAAAGCCACGUUGAAAACAUUAACGAUAAUUAUAACCGAUAUAUUUAUUCAUUUUUUUGAGCCAAGUUUGUAGUUAUCCUAAUAUUAAUAGCAAGCCAAGUUAUUAAAUAUAAACAAAAUCAUAUACAUAAUAAUCAAGAAAUUUAAAAUAAUUAUAUUUAAAAAUAAACGGCGUUUGGUGGCUUCUAAUUUUUUGUCAACUUGUAAAAAAAUUUCUAUCAAAACGACGUCGUUUUGAUACAAAAAAAAAAAGAGUUGUAAGCCAUUGGAUCUCUUUUUUAAUGUGUUGUCAACCCCACAACAAAAUUCUCACAAGAUCCUCACGGAGAAAUCCUCAUAGAGGAUCCUGAUCCCCAUGGAGGAGACGCUUUAUUUGAUUUAUUUAAUUAAGUACUAGUUUAAUGAGUUUAUUAAUAACAAAAUUAGUGAAAUUAUGUAUGUGCACACUUAGAAGGGGAAUGAAUAAGUGUGUGCGUGUGUCAACGAAUUAUGUCAAAUUUAUUUAUUUUUUGAGUUUCAAAAGUAAUCCAGAUAGGUAAAAAAUUUAGCUACUUUUUUUAAAACCUAUCUUCUUUCAUAUGCCUGCUUUCAGUUAUUUAUGAAUCAUGCAUGCAAUGAUAUUUUGGGAUUUUCUAAUGUAGAAAAUAAACUAAAAACUAAAACAACAACCAAUCGCACAUGCACACCAAGAUUUAUACCUGGUUCUGCUCCUUAGUCCUUUACUUUACGGGCCUACAUUCAAGGGCCUCAAGGCCAAAUAUCAACUGAUACUAGUGGUGAAGCCAGAAAAUUUAUUCAGUGGAGUUAAAAUAUUGUGAUGCUAUAAAUAAUUUGGCAGAGGUUCAGGGCAGUGCCUCCAAGCCAAUUUUUUAAUAUAAUUUUGUGUUUUUUGGCUGAUUGCAUAUAUAAAACAUGUAUUUUAUUACAAUAUUGUUAAUAUAACAAGUAAUAUAUAUAUAUAUAUAUAUAUAUAUAUAUAUAUAUAUAUAUAUAUAUACAUACACACACACCUUAUUGAUCCCUAAUACAUCUUUCAAAUCAUAAAUUUAUUAAUAAAAAUUUCUUAUGUUAUAAAAAUAAUAUAAAUUAAAUUAUUAUUUAUUUUAAAAAUACUAGGGGAAGAUGCAUACAUCAUGUAGUAAAAGUAAUAUAGAACUGAGAAAGUUAUAAAAAAAAUUAAAUUUGACCUCGUAUAUUAAAAAAACUAUAAAUUUUUGGUAGGGUCAAUUUAUUCGUUAUACUUGAUUUUUUUCUAAAUUUAUCAUAUAUUAUAAAAUAAUUUUUUCCCAGUGGGGUCAAUUAACCCCCCAACCUCCCAUGUGGCUUCGCCACUAGUUAUAACUAUGGCGACUGUUUGUACCGUUACUAUAAUUCAGAAAAUCGAUAAUUUAGCGACGGAUAAACCGACACUAUAACUAAACUGGAUAAAAUAAUUAAUUCUUAAUAUAAUAGUAAUUAAUCUGCAAUAGCUCAAAUUUUGUUGUUUAUGGUUAAUUAUACAUUUAAAUUAAUUUUAAAAAGUUAUAUGGUUCACCUAUGUAUUCGAGUAUAUAUUCUUUUGCAGGAGAUGAUUAGCUUAGUUCUUGUUACAACAUGCAUGUGUCCAUUCGAUGAUCUAACGAUUUAAUAAAGGUCUGGUCCGUAGUUUAGUUUUUAAUAUUCCGCAGUUUAAUACUGUGGACAGGACAAAUAUCUAAAAUUUCUCUUUUGUAUAAGUCUCUCGUCUUCAGUAUUAAACUACGGAAGCUAAGUAUGGUAGGCUAAUUGGUCAAUGACGUCGUAUUGGUUAAAUUCAAAUUUUAUUUAGUUUUCUAGGCGCAAAUGACUCCGGAAUCGGGACGAUGACAGAUUAAUUUGGGAAGGAUUCGGCUAUCAGAACUCCCAAGGAAUUGCAGACGAGAGCUCUAUUAAACGGUUCGAUCUUAACGUGAAGGGUCACGAUGUGUUGAAAGGUUACAUUUUUUUACAGCGUUUGCUAUGGAUUGGUCUUUAUAUAUAUAUAUAUAUAUAUAUAUAUAUAUAUAUAGAGAGAGAGAGAGAGAGAGAGAGAGAGAGUUCGAUUUUUAUUCGGACUCCCGGAUUUUCUUAAAAUACGGACCUUUAUUUUAUUUUUUUGCUUUUUUUUUAAUAUUUUAUGGAACUGGAAUUUUUAUAUAAUACAGUAUUUUGGGUGUAAUUUGAAUACGUAUAACAAAAUAGGUCUGUACAGACUGUACAUACAUAUUUUGUUAUGUGUAUCCAAAUAACGCCCAAAAUAUUGUAUUAUGGAAAAAUUUCAAUUCCAUAAAAUAUNNNNNNNNNNNNNNNNNNNNNNNNNNNNNNNNNNNNNNNNNNNNNNNNNNNNNNNNNNNNNNNNNNNNNNNNNNNNNNNNNNNNNNNNNNNNNNNNNNNNNNNNNNNNNNNNNUAUAUAUAUAUAUAUAUAUAUAUAUAUGGAGUUUCAUUUACAGCAACAGGUUGUUAUGAAGCAAUCCCUUUUUUGGCUUGUUAAAAUUUCGGCUGGAGCAAAAAAAAAAAUUCAACAGACAAAAAAAGGGAUUACUCCACAGCAACCGUUGUUGUGGAUGGAACCCAUAUAUAUAUAUAUAUAUAUAUAUAUAUAGAGAGAGAGAGAGAGAGAGAGGGAAUAAUUCAUAUCAUAUAUUUGUUAUGGAUCAAAAAUAGACAAAUGUCAUCUUUACCUUCCAUUAUAUUUAUGAACGAUUAAGAUUUAAAAAUCAAACUCGUCAUCCGCUAGAAUAACUAGCGGACUGGUUCAUUCCCCAAUUAUCCCGAUUAUACCCCCAUCACUUAUCAAUUGUUUCCUUUUUUUCGCUCUAAUUCUCUUCCUUUCCCUUUUCUCUGCGCUUAUUUGAAAGAAACUCUCCUAGUAGCCCUUAUCGGCACUUAUUCAUUGAGUAUGGAGUGUCAAACCCAAAUUCUCCCUAAAUAGUUAAAUCGGAGACUCUGCCUCUAAUUCUCUUUUCUGAUUCGAUUGAAUCUGAUGCAAAUAGCAUUAUGAAUGCGAACAUGGGUAUGUGCCUUCACUCGGAUAUGUAGAAAAUUUUUAAGGUUGCCCAGCAUUUCUCUUGUCAGGACCAACUUGAUGUUGUUGAUAAACGAAAAAAGAACCAAUCUUAGGUGGAAUUCAUCUCUGCUCAUGGAUUUUCUAUGCAGGAGGUAAAUGAAUUCUCAGCUAAGGGUGUUAUUUCAUGGAAAGUGGAUGCCCACAACCUAUUUGUGAAAAGUCCCUAGUUAGGUGGUUGCUCUGAUUCUAAGGUUUUUGCUCCUGUUGUUCAUAUAUUUUUGAUGAUAAGAGAUGCAUGGAUUGUGUAUAUGGUGGAAUAUGAUAUAAUCAAGACGGAUGUAUUUUAGUACUUUGAAUCAAUAGUACAUGAAUAAGGAGGGAGAAGUUGAUGAGGAUGUAAGCCACAUGAUUGUAGCAGGAUAGAUGAAUUGGUUUGGUGCAUUAAGAGUGUUUUUAUUCUAGAGUCAUCCUACUUUUUUGUGAUUUUUCUCUCGCUCUAUGUGCAUGUGUUGGUAAUUUUUCAGCUAUAUUUUUGUUGCCGAUUCUUAUGUAUUAUAUUUUAAAAUGGUGUAACUGGAGCUGUCAUUUCCUUACAUUUGUUUUGUCUUUCUAGAUAAUGAUUAAACUAAAUAUUUUAUUUACCAG